CAGGAAGUCAGACACGAACAAAGUCUACACGCACCCAGUUGACCGCCAAUGUGCGGGACAAGCGAUGGCAUAGAUACCCAUCUCCAUGGGAAAACCGCCGGCAUCGCACCGAGUGUCAUAUAUACUCACCAAAAUCGUGUUUGAAGCGUGUGGACAAGUAGCUCUCACGGGACAGAGGAUGGUAUUUUGGAGUUAUUCAUGGUGAAUCAAAGGUGCAAAAGCAAAGCGGAAUCUCUGAGAGAUACUUGUUUGAGACCUUUUUGAACUCGAGGGAGUCUCUUUCUUACGCUGGGCUUGGGAAUGUCAACGCGAAGCUCCCUAUGUUUGUUUCGAGUGUGCUUCUCCAACGCAUCCGAAAAUUCUGUGAUCACCUUGCCAAGAUAUGCUGUUUGAGGAGGCAAUUGUUGUAGAUGUUCUGUCCAUCAGUCCACAUAAUUUGUCUCUAUAUCUACGUAG
This 456-nucleotide small RNA is filed under the name Histoplasma capsulatum. RNAcentral describes it as "hypothetical RNA". The record is from RNAcentral. RNAcentral also lists the same sequence under 1 other name. Lineage: Eukaryota; Fungi; Ascomycota; Eurotiomycetes; Onygenales; Ajellomycetaceae.